CCUACGGGUGGCUGCAGUGGGGAAUAUUGGACAAUGGGCGAAAGCCUGAUCCAGCCAUGCCGCGUGUGUGAAGAAGGCCUUCGGGUUGUAAAGCACUUUCAGUGGGGAAGAAAGCCUUGGGGCUAAUACCCUCGAGGAAGGACAUCACCCACAGAAGAAGCACCGGCUAACUCCGUGCCAGCAGCCGCGGUAAUACGGAGGGUGCGAGCGUUAAUCGGAAUUACUGGGCGUAAAGCGCGCGUAGGCGGUCUGAUAAGCCGGUUGUGAAAGCCCCGGGCUCAACCUGGGAACGGCAUCCGGAACUGUCAGGCUAGAGUGCAGGAGAGGAAGGUAGAAUUCCCGGUGUAGCGGUGAAAUGCGUAGAGAUUGGGAGGAAUACCAGUGGCGAAGGCGGCCUUCUGGACUGACACUGACGCUGAGGUGCGAAAGCGUGGGUAGCAAACAGGAUUAGAUACCCGAGUGUC
RNAcentral lists this ribosomal RNA (464 nucleotides) under Vreelandella stevensii. Its description in RNAcentral is "partial 16S ribosomal RNA". It matches the Rfam family "Bacterial small subunit ribosomal RNA", at positions 338 to 795 of the family's 1533-position model. Lineage: Bacteria; Pseudomonadati; Pseudomonadota; Gammaproteobacteria; Oceanospirillales; Halomonadaceae. The record is from RNAcentral.